UACGGGGUGCGGCGCCACUCGGUGUACCACUAAAUUGCGUAAGACCUAUUGAAUACAAAUCUGAGAUCGCCUGAAUUAUGGGGUGCGGUGCGACUCGGUGUCGACCUAAUAGAGUAGAGCCUUGUAAAGACCCCAUCAACAAAAAAUGUGAAGCUGCGAUAAAUACUUUAGAUGUACAUCGACUGAAAAAUGAAAUGGCAGACAAGAGUCUUGAUAAAUUGUUUGAUGAAAUCUUCAAGGUUGUUAUUGAAUCAUCAAAUUUUUAUUUGAAAAAUGCUGAGAUUACAUGCGUAACACCAAACCAGCAUAUUACGUUGUGGGCUGGUAAUAAAGUCAACAAGUAUGUUAUCAGGAUGGUCAACCCAGAUAAUAUCACUACCAAAUUUA
Long non-coding RNA from Anneissia japonica, 387 nucleotides. RefSeq lists it as uncharacterized. NCBI's taxonomy places the organism in Eukaryota, Metazoa, Echinodermata, Crinoidea, Comatulida, Comatulidae. The transcript has 3 exons. The record is from RefSeq and is a predicted model, not a curated record.